AUGCACGCUGGCGGUGUGCCUAAUACAUGCCAGUCGCACGAACAGACGAGGAGCUUGCUCCUCUGACGUUAGCGGCGGACGGGUGAGUAACACGUGGAUAACCUACCUAUAAGACUGGGAUAACUUCGGGAAACCGGAGCUAAUACCGGAUAAUAUAUUGAACCGCAUGGUUCAAUAGUGAAAGACGGUUUUGCUGUCACUUAUAGAUGGAUCCGCGCCGCAUUAGCUAGUUGGUAAGGUAACGGCUUACCAAGGCAACGAUGCGUAGCCGACCUGAGAGGGUGAUCGGCCACACUGGAACUGAGACACGGUCCAGACUCCUACGGGAGGCAGCAGUAGGGAAUCUUCCGCAAUGGGCGAAAGCCUGACGGAGCAACGCCGCGUGAGUGAUGAAGGUCUUCGGAUCGUAAAACUCUGUUAUUAGGGAAGAACAAAUGUGUAAGUAACUAUGCACGUCUUGACGGUACCUAAUCAGAAAGCCACGGCUAACUACGUG
This 496-nucleotide ribosomal RNA is filed under the name uncultured bacterium. Its description in RNAcentral is "partial 16S ribosomal RNA". It matches the Rfam family "Bacterial small subunit ribosomal RNA", at positions 29 to 507 of the family's 1533-position model. The record is from RNAcentral.